UGACCUCAAAUCAGGUAGGACUACCCGCUGAACUUAAGCAUAUCAAUAAGCGGAGGAAAAGAAACUAACAAGGAUUCCCCUAGUAACUGCGAGUGAAGCGGGAAAAGCUCAAAUUUUGAAUCUGGCGGUCUUCGCAGACCGUCCGAGUGUAAUCUAGAGAAG
This 162-nucleotide ribosomal RNA is filed under the name Boletus aereus. RNAcentral describes it as "partial 28S ribosomal RNA". It matches the Rfam family "Eukaryotic large subunit ribosomal RNA", at positions 1 to 158 of the family's 3401-position model. Lineage: Eukaryota; Fungi; Basidiomycota; Agaricomycetes; Boletales; Boletaceae. The record is from RNAcentral.